This 460-nucleotide ribosomal RNA is filed under the name uncultured bacterium. RNAcentral's name for it is "partial 16S ribosomal RNA". It matches the Rfam family "Bacterial small subunit ribosomal RNA", at positions 338 to 795 of the family's 1533-position model. The record is from RNAcentral.
CCUACGGGUGGCAGCAGUGAGGAAUAUUGGUCAAUGGACGAGAGUCUGAACCAGCCAAGUAGCGUGAAGGAUGACUGCCCUAUGGGUUGUAAACUUCUUUUAUAAAGGAAUAAAACGAGGCACGUGUGCCUUUUUGCAUGUACUUUAUGAAUAAGGAUCGGCUAACUCCGUGCCAGCAGCCGCGGUAAUACGGAGGGUCCGAGCGUUAUCCGGAUUUAUUGGGUUUAAAGGGAGCGUAGAUGGGUUGUUAAGUCAGUUGUGAAAUUUUGCGGCUCAACCGUAAAAUUGCAAUUGAUACUGGCAGUCUUGAGUACAGGUGAGGUAGGCGGAAUUCGUGGUGUAGCGGUGAAAUGCUUAGAUAUAACGAAGAACCCCGAUUGCGAAGGCAGCUUACUAAACUGUGACUGACAUUGAUGCUCGAAAGUGUGGGUAUCAAACAGGAUUAGAUACCCCGGUAGUC